Cinara cedri is the source of this 111-nucleotide non-coding RNA. NCBI's taxonomy places the organism in Eukaryota, Metazoa, Arthropoda, Insecta, Hemiptera, Aphididae. The record is from the annotation of a GenBank genome assembly.
UAUUUCAACAAUGCAUAUCCUGUUCCUAAGUACUAGUGCCGCGGGAGUGAUAUCCCUAUUUGUAUCUCCUGCAGCUCAAGUGCUUAUCAACGGGAAAAAGCACAUCAACCC